This 2949-nucleotide ribosomal RNA is filed under the name Staphylococcus aureus. RNAcentral describes it as "bacterial LSU rRNA". It matches the Rfam family "Bacterial large subunit ribosomal RNA". The record is from RNAcentral. Lineage: Bacteria; Bacillati; Bacillota; Bacilli; Caryophanales; Staphylococcaceae.
UUAAGUUAUUAAGGGCGCACGGUGGAUGCCUUGGCACUAGAAGCCGAUGAAGGACGUUACUAACGACGAUAUGCUUUGGGGAGCUGUAAGUAAGCUUUGAUCCAGAGAUUUCCGAAUGGGGAAACCCAGCAUGAGUUAUGUCAUGUUAUCGAUAUGUGAAUACAUAGCAUAUCAGAAGGCACACCCGGAGAACUGAAACAUCUUAGUACCCGGAGGAAGAGAAAGAAAAUUCGAUUCCCUUAGUAGCGGCGAGCGAAACGGGAAGAGCCCAAACCAACAAGCUUGCUUGUUGGGGUUGUAGGACACUCUAUACGGAGUUACAAAGGACGACAUUAGACGAAUCAUCUGGAAAGAUGAAUCAAAGAAGGUAAUAAUCCUGUAGUCGAAAAUGUUGUCUCUCUUGAGUGGAUCCUGAGUACGACGGAGCACGUGAAAUUCCGUCGGAAUCUGGGAGGACCAUCUCCUAAGGCUAAAUACUCUCUAGUGACCGAUAGUGAACCAGUACCGUGAGGGAAAGGUGAAAAGCACCCCGGAAGGGGAGUGAAAUAGAACCUGAAACCGUGUGCUUACAAGUAGUCAGAGCCCGUUAAUGGGUGAUGGCGUGCCUUUUGUAGAAUGAACCGGCGAGUUACGAUUUGAUGCAAGGUUAAGCAGUAAAUGUGGAGCCGUAGCGAAAGCGAGUCUGAAUAGGGCGUUUAGUAUUUGGUCGUAGACCCGAAACCAGGUGAUCUACCCUUGGUCAGGUUGAAGUUCAGGUAACACUGAAUGGAGGACCGAACCGACUUACGUUGAAAAGUGAGCGGAUGAACUGAGGGUAGCGGAGAAAUUCCAAUCGAACCUGGAGAUAGCUGGUUCUCUCCGAAAUAGCUUUAGGGCUAGCCUCAAGUGAUGAUUAUUGGAGGUAGAGCACUGUUUGGACGAGGGGCCCCUCUCGGGUUACCGAAUUCAGACAAACUCCGAAUGCCAAUUAAUUUAACUUGGGAGUCAGAACAUGGGUGAUAAGGUCCGUGUUCGAAAGGGAAACAGCCCAGACCACCAGCUAAGGUCCCAAAAUAUAUGUUAAGUGGAAAAGGAUGUGGCGUUGCCCAGACAACUAGGAUGUUGGCUUAGAAGCAGCCAUCAUUUAAAGAGUGCGUAAUAGCUCACUAGUCGAGUGACACUGCGCCGAAAAUGUACCGGGGCUAAACAUAUUACCGAAGCUGUGGAUUGUCCUUUGGACAAUGGUAGGAGAGCGUUCUAAGGGCGUUGAAGCAUGAUCGUAAGGACAUGUGGAGCGCUUAGAAGUGAGAAUGCCGGUGUGAGUAGCGAAAGACGGGUGAGAAUCCCGUCCACCGAUUGACUAAGGUUUCCAGAGGAAGGCUCGUCCGCUCUGGGUUAGUCGGGUCCUAAGCUGAGGCCGACAGGCGUAGGCGAUGGAUAACAGGUUGAUAUUCCUGUACCACCUAUAAUCGUUUUAAUCGAUGGGGGGACGCAGUAGGAUAGGCGAAGCGUGCGAUUGGAUUGCACGUCUAAGCAGUAAGGCUGAGUAUUAGGCAAAUCCGGUACUCGUUAAGGCUGAGCUGUGAUGGGGAGAAGACAUUGUGUCUUCGAGUCGUUGAUUUCACACUGCCGAGAAAAGCCUCUAGAUAGAAAAUAGGUGCCCGUACCGCAAACCGACACAGGUAGUCAAGAUGAGAAUUCUAAGGUGAGCGAGCGAACUCUCGUUAAGGAACUCGGCAAAAUGACCCCGUAACUUCGGGAGAAGGGGUGCUCUUUAGGGUUAACGCCCAGAAGAGCCGCAGUGAAUAGGCCCAAGCGACUGUUUAUCAAAAACACAGGUCUCUGCUAAACCGUAAGGUGAUGUAUAGGGGCUGACGCCUGCCCGGUGCUGGAAGGUUAAGAGGAGUGGUUAGCUUCUGCGAAGCUACGAAUCGAAGCCCCAGUAAACGGCGGCCGUAACUAUAACGGUCCUAAGGUAGCGAAAUUCCUUGUCGGGUAAGUUCCGACCCGCACGAAAGGCGUAACGAUUUGGGCACUGUCUCAACGAGAGACUCGGUGAAAUCAUAGUACCUGUGAAGAUGCAGGUUACCCGCGACAGGACGGAAAGACCCCGUGGAGCUUUACUGUAGCCUGAUAUUGAAAUUCGGCACAGCUUGUACAGGAUAGGUAGGAGCCUUUGAAACGUGAGCGCUAGCUUACGUGGAGGCGCUGGUGGGAUACUACCCUAGCUGUGUUGGCUUUCUAACCCGCACNNNNNNNNNNNNNNNNNNNNNNNNNNNNNACUUAUCGUGGUGGGAGACAGUGUCAGGCGGGCAGUUUGACUGGGGCGGUCGCCUCCUAAAAGGUAACGGAGGCGCUCAAAGGUUCCCUCAGAAUGGUUGGAAAUCAUUCAUAGAGUGUAAAGGCAUAAGGGAGCUUGACUGCGAGACCUACAAGUCGAGCAGGGUCGAAAGACGGACUUAGUGAUCCGGUGGUUCCGCAUGGAAGGGCCAUCGCUCAACGGAUAAAAGCUACCCCGGGGAUAACAGGCUUAUCUCCCCCAAGAGUUCACAUCGACGGGGAGGUUUGGCACCUCGAUGUCGGCUCAUCGCAUCCUGGGGCUGUAGUCGGUCCCAAGGGUUGGGCUGUUCGCCCAUUAAAGCGGUACGCGAGCUGGGUUCAGAACGUCGUGAGACAGUUCGGUCCCUAUCCGUCGUGGGCGUAGGAAAUUUGAGAGGAGCUGUCCUUAGUACGAGAGGACCGGGAUGGACAUACCUCUGGUGUACCAGUUGUCGUGCCAACGGCAUAGCUGGGUAGCUAUGUGUGGACGGGAUAAGUGCUGAAAGCAUCUAAGCAUGAAGCCCCCCUCAAGAUGAGAUUUCCCAACUUCGGUUAUAAGAUCCCUCAAAGAUGAUGAGGUUAAUAGGUUCGAGGUGGAAGCAUGGUGACAUGUGGAGCUGACGAAUACUAAUCGAUCGAAGACUUAAUCAA